CUAGUUUUAAGAUGUUAUGAUUCUAUAUCAUCUACAUCUAUAUUCUCUUUGCUAAGUCAUAACUUGGUAACCAGUCAUAUACUUUGGAACAUUCAUCCUCUUAGCUGUUCCCAUCCAGGUAGCCCAACUGGGUGAACCUCAAAUUCCAUUUGUGUGUGCUCUGGAGAAAAACCUCCAUUCUCAUAAUUGCCUGCAUCCUGCCCUUGAGAGAGGAAAACCCUGGACAAAGAGCAGGAAUUCCUACUUCACACCUUGGGGAAUAAUAUUCAGUAACUCCUUACCCAGAGAGGUAGAUCAAGCGGAAACUAUGAACAUCUGGGAAAAAAGGUUCAGAUGAGUUCAUGGCUGCCUAAGCUAAAAUGAGUCAUUCAAGGAAACAAGGCUGGGCAAGCCUGGCCUUUGAAGAGACUGUAAGGGAUUCAGAAUCACUUCAAUCAAAACUUCCAUUAAGUCUUGACAGCUUUGAGUGUGGAAUAUGUUGACAAGAUCAGAGCCAUUAAUAAUGGGCUGGCCCAAGCUCCCAGAUCCAUGAUUCAAAGAUGUUUGUGUGGAUGAAUAAUACACUCUGGGCUCAUCUAAUUUUUCAAGUUUAAUGGUUCAUUGGUCUUCGGUCUGGGAAGAAACAUUCAUCACCGCUAGUUCAGGGAAGAGACAAUACAAUUCCCACUCCCUUGAGUCUCUCCCUGAUCUGCCUGACUGCCUGGAUUGCCUUUUUCUGGAGGAGAGCACAUCUCAUCUAGUUUGUUGUAUCUUCUCCCUAAUGAUCUUCCCACUCUGGAGAUGCCUUCACCCCUGUGUUUCUCCUCUCAGAAUGGCCAGUUCCUUGCUGGGAGCAUCUCAGGAGUCCACCAACUAUCCUCAACAAGUCUUCACAGCUCCCAAAGAAUACUCCUUGAAACAAAUUAGUGAAAUCAACCAAAAUGAGGUCACUUCUAACUCUUAAAUCAUAAGAAAGAGAAGAAAGAUGGAGAAAGGGAAAGAGAAAGGAAAUGAAGAAUAAAGAAGGAGAAAGAGAAGAAAAGGAAGGAAAA
Molecule: long non-coding RNA, 1031 nt
Filed under: Monodelphis domestica (gray short-tailed opossum)
Lineage: Eukaryota; Metazoa; Chordata; Mammalia; Didelphimorphia; Didelphidae
Description: lncRNA (ENSMODG00000043821.1)
Source: RNAcentral